Molecule: ribosomal RNA, 301 nt
Filed under: uncultured bacterium
Lineage: Bacteria
Description: partial 16S ribosomal RNA
Rfam family: Bacterial small subunit ribosomal RNA
Source: RNAcentral
CAGUCGCCACGGUAAUACAGAGGGUGCAAGCGUUAAUCGGAUUUACUGGGCGUAAAGGGCGCGUAGGUGGUUAUGUAAGUGAGAUGUGAAAUCCCCGGGCUCAACCUGGGAACUGCAUCUUAUACUGCGUAGCUGGAGUGCAGUAGAGGGUAGUGGAAUUUCCGGUGUAGCGGUGAAAUGCGUAGAUAUCGGAAGGAACACCAGUGGCGAAGGCGGCUACCUGGACUGACACUGACACUGAGGCGCGAAAGCGUGGGGAGCAAACAGGAUUAGAUACCCCCGUAGUCCCUGUCUCUUAUAC